RNAcentral lists this ribosomal RNA (923 nucleotides) under Pseudomonas sp. s221. Its description in RNAcentral is "bacterial SSU rRNA". It matches the Rfam family "Bacterial small subunit ribosomal RNA", at positions 93 to 1013 of the family's 1533-position model. The record is from RNAcentral. Lineage: Bacteria; Pseudomonadati; Pseudomonadota; Gammaproteobacteria; Pseudomonadales; Pseudomonadaceae.
CGACGGCGGACGGGUGAGUAAUGCCUAGGAAUCUGCCUGGUAGUGGGGGACAACGUUUCGAAAGGAACGCUAAUACCGCAUACGUCCUACGGGAGAAAGCAGGGGACCUUCGGGCCUUGCGCUAUCAGAUGAGCCUAGGUCGGAUUAGCUAGUUGGUGGGGUAAUGGCUCACCAAGGCGACGAUCCGUAACUGGUCUGAGAGGAUGAUCAGUCACACUGGAACUGAGACACGGUCCAGACUCCUACGGGAGGCAGCAGUGGGGAAUAUUGGACAAUGGGCGAAAGCCUGAUCCAGCCAUGCCGCGUGUGUGAAGAAGGUCUUCGGAUUGUAAAGCACUUUAAGUUGGGAGGAAGGGCAGUAAGUUAAUACCUUGCUGUUUUGACGUUACCGACAGAAUAAGCACCGGCUAACUCUGUGCCAGCAGCCGCGGUAAUACAGAGGGUGCAAGCGUUAAUCGGAAUUACUGGGCGUAAAGCGCGCGUAGGUGGUUUGUUAAGUUGGAUGUGAAAGCCCCGGGCUCAACCUGGGAAAUGCAUCCAAAACUGGCAAGCUAGAGUACGGUAGAGGGUGGUGGAAUUUCCUGUGUAGCGGUGAAAUGCGUAGAUAUAGGAAGGAACACCAGUGGCGAAGGCGACCACCUGGACUGAUACUGACACUGAGGUGCGAAAGCGUGGGGAGCAAACAGGAUUAGAUACCCUGGUAGUCCACGCCGUAAACGAUGUCAACUAGCCGUUGGAAUCCUUGAGAUUUUAGUGGCGCAGCUAACGCAUUAAGUUGACCGCCUGGGGAGUACGGCCGCAAGGUUAAAAAUCAAAUGAAUUGACGGGGGCCCGCACAAGCGGUGGAGCAUGUGGUUUAAUUUGAAGCAACGCGAAGAACCUUACCAGGCCUUGACAUGCAGAGAACUUCCAGAGAUGGAUUG